AUGGCUCUGAACGAUGGCCUCGCCAGGUUCAGGCUGCAGCAGGAGAGGAACCAGGCGAUUCUGUCAACCGUCGCCGCUACCAGAACCUCUUCAUCAUCAUCCACCAGAACGUCCCAGCAGCAGCCCGCUCCAACUCCAAGGCCGGCGGCUAAGCCAUCACCGUCCGCGCCCGCUGCCGUCAGGUUCUCCGAUGACACGGCGCGGCUACAGAAGAUCAACGAAGUGAGGACGUCCACCGUCGGAUCACAGCUCAAAAAGGUAAUCGAGCUGCUCGAGAAGACGAGGGAUGCUCUUACGGCGCAUCAGAUCAACGAACAGAUCUACGUUGACAUCGACGGUAACAACGACGUCGCCGACAGCCUGAGGAACAACGCCAAGGUGCGCUUCGACAGGCGGCGCUACUCCUACAAGCCCACGCACGACCUGAAGGCCAAAGGCGAGCUGCUGACACUGAUCAAGAGCUUGCCGGACGGCCUCCUGGUCUCGGAGGUGAAGGACACGUAUCCAGCCGUGCACGACGACCUGCAGGCCCUGAAUCCUCGGGGGACGUCUAUCUGCUACCGGGGGAGGGGGGCGCCAUUGCCUAUCCCAACGACCCGAGGUUGA
This 606-nucleotide ribosomal RNA is filed under the name Triticum aestivum (bread wheat). RNAcentral's name for it is "partial small subunit ribosomal RNA". The record is from RNAcentral. Lineage: Eukaryota; Viridiplantae; Streptophyta; Magnoliopsida; Poales; Poaceae.